AGGCUGCCUCGCCCACAUGGGCGCCCAGGUCUUGCUGGGCUCAAGGCCCGCACACAAAGGCCAGGUCCCCAGGGAGGCCCGGCCAAGAAGCAUGUGUGGUGCGGUUCUGAGGGGCCUCACCAACCACCCCGCAGCCCAGCCCUGGGGAGGGGCGCGUGAGAGACCCCGGGGAGGGGACCUCAGCUGAGGCCAGAUGUCCACCCCCAAGGUGGCUGAGCAGAGACUACGCCUGAUGUCAGGGUGAUCCCAGGCUCACAGUGCAGGGUGGGGACAACCGGUCCACCCAGACCCCUGACCUUCCUGGAAAACCAUCCGUCUCCGUGGGCCCCUGCAGAGACAGCCGUCCUCCGCGCUGCCAUGUGUUCCUGGAGCCUCUCCAAGACAAUCGCACCAGCUCCCUUGUGGGCCACAAAGGUCCUUUGACGGUGGCGGCCGGAGCUAAACCCACAGUUGGGGUGAGGAGGGGGAGGGAGGGCUCCACUGGGCCCGCCCCGUACUCUGCAGGCUGAGCGGGCUCCCUGGACACCCUGCCUGCCCGAGCCCAGCGGCUCAAGGCUCCUCCGGCUGACAACCCUGCUCUGAGGGCCUGCCGGCCCCGCUUGUUCUGGGCGAGGCCGUGGAGUUUGUCCUGAGGAGGGGUCUGGCCAGCCAGGGAUUGGACCACCUGUUGGGGGUUCUGUGGCCACAGGACCCUGGGCCCACCUGGCAAAUGGGAGGGUGUUUGCCAUGGGUAGUCUGUCCUUGCCAAGUGUCCCCCAUGUGGGGCUCAGGGAGGCUGGGGUUCUGGAGCCCACACCUGUACACAGUGUGGUGAGAGGAGGGCUCUUGGACCCAGCACGUCAGGGCAUGUGGCCAGGCAGCGUGUCUGGGGCUGCGGCCCUUCUGCCUCCUCCCUCGUCUCUUGGGAACCAAGAGGUCUGGCCCCCUUUGGCUCCCAAAGCCAACACUGAGCAUGGGGCACCCCCAGAUGCCCAGUGACCAGGGAGGCCUGGACACAGAUGGACAUCAGGGGACCUUUGCUUCUGGUCCAGCAGGGUGGACGGGCAGUGGUGGGUGUCACAGGACACGGAGGCCAGGCUGUGUGGGGGCUGGGGCUGACAGUGCUGCGCCACGGGCUGGCGACAGGAAGCGUCUGUACAGGGGAAGGUGUGGAGCAGGCACAGUGAGAUGGCCCAGUUGCUGCCCCGGGACGGGUGGAGGCCGCUGGGGAGGGUAGCAGCCGGCUCAGCCUGGGUCAGGCUCCUGGGUUCCCGGGCCUGAGGCUGGCAACCACGGCCGUCCACUCACUGGGCCCUCGCAGGUUGGCCAGAGGAGGCCUGCUUGGCUACAAACAGGAACGUCGCCCACGGGCCAGGCGGGAGCACCCGGCUGGGGAGAAGGCCCAGAGCAAGGCACAAUCCACCCUUUGUUCCCGCGGCCUGGAGCCUGCGGGCCAAGAGGAAAUGAGGGGAGCGCCAGCCAGCAGCCCUCACCCGCCCGGCAGUCCUCACCGCCAGGGCCGGGCAGACGCCAGGGCCCAGCCCAGCAGAGGGGCUGGAGAGUCUGCUCCAGGGAGGGGCAGGCUGCCCACCGCGUCCCCCUGGCCCAGCCAAGUCGGCAUCCACGAGGGGCGGCAGGUCCCCAUGGCACGGGCCUGGAUGCCCAUGCCCACUUCCUUACCUGCACCACCCCCCGUCCACCUUGGCAAGCCCCGGGCUGCUCAGGCGCCUGUUGGGGGCUGCGGCCUGGGCACAGGUCCUGGACAGCCCUGGGCAGCGCCUGCUCCAGUCUGAGGAUGGCCCCUGCCCCUGGCCUCCCACCCGCAGCCCCAGACAAGUGCCUGAGUCCUCCCCGGCUGAGGGUGGAUGGUGAGGGGCAGGGGUCUGGCUGGAUGGGGCUGGGCCAUGCCCCACCCUGCUCCUUACCAAUCCCCAGGGCCCCCAGACGUGACCAAAGGGGGCUGCCAUCCAUCCUGGCAGCAGCCAAGCUUGUCCCCUCAACAGCGGAGGAGGGGACGUUGGGCCUGAAGGGCCAACCAUCUGGCGGGUCCCACCUCAGAGUGCCAUCCCCUCUGCCAAGUCCCAUCCAGGGGCAGCCCAGGACCACCGCCAGGAGUGUGUGACCUGAGUGCGUGCGUGUACACAUGUGCGUGCAUGUGUACCCCUGUGUGUACGUGCACAUGUGCUCGCAUCGCGUGUGUACAUGUAUGUGUGCACGAGUGCAUGCAUGUGGGUGUGUGGGGCUGGAGACCCCUUCUGUCCCCUCCCUCACACCUUCCUUCACUCCACGCAGCCCUGUGGGAUCUGGGGCAGGAGCUGUGGGGCCGAGGACCCCUGGAGCCUCGUUCGUGAGUGCCCGGUGGGGUCUCCCUUGGAGGCCCGCACUGUGGGGCUGAGUGGCCACCUGGUACCCCACUUCGAGGUCCAUUUUAGCCUCAUCUGAGCCUGUGUUGAGGUUGAAAGAUGACCCCUGAAGUCCCUUUGUUGUGCCACCAUGCUUGGCCUCCCAGGAAGGGCCGACUGCCCCGGGGGCCCAGGUUGAUCCUCGCAGGCACAGAUCCCCACCACAGCCGGACACCUAGCAGGCUGGCCUCCCUGGGGCCUCUCCUGGUGCCGGUCUGGGACGCAGAGCCCUGGCCUAGGGCCUCACCUGGGGCACAGCAGCCUUCAGGCCACCAGGCAGGAGCACCCAGGGACAAACCCCACAGGGCCACGGCACCCAGCCUCGGAGCUCAGGUCUGGGUGCUGGACCUUCUGGGAUGGCCUGGAGUCUGAAGCCCACCCAGAAGUGGGAGGGUCCCGGGGGUCAGGAGGGCCUGUCCCGGGGUGGGGCAGUGGCUGUCACCACAUCCCCAAGGUCCAGGCUCAGCCAGGUGGACCCCGGCCGGCUGGCUCCCACACUGGGUCGCACAGGCCAGCAUGGGGUUUCUGGGUGCCUGCCCCAGGGAGGUCAGACUUGAGUCCACUGCCAUGGGGCCGGUCUCAGCCACCUAGCAGUGGGGACUGAGGGUCAGGGCCCGCUGUGCCCAGGGGCCCUGAACCAGAGUGAGUAUCCUCAGGGCAAGGAGAAGACUCUGAGGCCUGGGGACACGUAUGUGCACAUGCGUGUGUGUGUAACGACUGUGCUACUGUCACUCACCGGGGCACACAGACCACACAAAGAGUCCGCGGCCUUGGAUGGCACUGCCAGCUGCUGUGG
Molecule: long non-coding RNA, 3177 nt
Filed under: Equus caballus (horse)
Lineage: Eukaryota; Metazoa; Chordata; Mammalia; Perissodactyla; Equidae
Description: lncRNA (ENSECAG00000050797.1)
Source: RNAcentral